GGUUAAGCGACUAAGCGUACACGGUGGAUGCCCUGGCAGUCAGAGGCGAUGAAGGACGUGCUAAUCUGCGAUAAGCGUCGGUAAGGUGAUAUGAACCGUUAUAACCGGCGAUUUCCGAAUGGGGAAACUCCAGUGUGAUUCGUCACACUAUCAUUAACUGAAUCCAUAGGUUAAUGAGGCGAACCGGGGGAACUGAAACAUCUAAGUACCCCGAGGAAAAGAAAUCAACCGAGAUUCCCCCCAGUAGCGGCGAGCGAACGGGGAGCAGCCCAGAGCCUGAAUCAGUGUGUGUGUUAGUGGAAGCGUCUGGAAAGGCGCGCGAUACAGGGUGACAGCCCCGUACACAAAAAUGCACAUACUGUGAGCUCGAUGAGUAGGGCGGGACACGUGGUAUCCUGUCUGAAUAUGGGGGACCAUCCUCCAAGGCUAAAUACUCCUGACUGACCGAUAGUGAACCAGUACCGUGAGGGAAAGGCGAAAAGAACCCCGGCGAGGGGAGUGAAAAAGAACCUGAAACCGUGUACGUACAAGCAGUGGGAGCCUCUUUUAUGGGGUGACUGCGUACCUUUUGUAUAAUGGGUCAGCGACUUAUAUUCUGUAGCAAGGUUAACCGAAUAGGGGAGCCGAAGGGAAACCGAGUCUUAACCGGGCGUUAAGUUGCAGGGUAUAGACCCGAAACCCGGUGAUCUAGCCAUGGGCAGGUUGAAGGUUGGGUAACACUAACUGGAGGACCGAACCGACUAAUGUUGAAAAAUUAGCGGAUGACUUGUGGCUGGGGGUGAAAGGCCAAUCAAACCGGGAGAUAGCUGGUUCUCCCCGAAAGCUAUUUAGGUAGCGCCUCGUGAAUUCAUCUCCGGGGGUAGAGCACUGUUUCGGCAAGGGGGUCAUCCCGACUUACCAACCCGAUGCAAACUGCGAAUACCGGAGAAUGUUAUCACGGGAGACACACGGCGGGUGCUAACGUCCGUCGUGAAGAGGGAAACAACCCAGACCGCCAGCUAAGGUCCCAAAGUCAUGGUUAAGUGGGAAACGAUGUGGGAAGGCCCAGACAGCCAGGAUGUUGGCUUAGAAGCAGCCAUCAUUUAAAGAAAGCGUAAUAGCUCACUGGUCGAGUCGGCCUGCGCGGAAGAUGUAACGGGGCUAAACCAUGCACCGAAGCUGCGGCAGCGACACUGUGUGUUGUUGGGUAGGGGAGCGUUCUGUAAGCCUGUGAAGGUGUACUGUGAGGUAUGCUGGAGGUAUCAGAAGUGCGAAUGCUGACAUAAGUAACGAUAAAGCGGGUGAAAAGCCCGCUCGCCGGAAGACCAAGGGUUCCUGUCCAACGUUAAUCGGGGCAGGGUGAGUCGACCCCUAAGGCGAGGCCGAAAGGCGUAGUCGAUGGGAAACAGGUUAAUAUUCCUGUACUUGGUGUUACUGCGAAGGGGGGACGGAGAAGGCUAUGUUGGCCGGGCGACGGUUGUCCCGGUUUAAGCGUGUAGGCUGGUUUUCCAGGCAAAUCCGGAAAAUCAAGGCUGAGGCGUGAUGACGAGGCACUACGGUGCUGAAGCAACAAAUGCCCUGCUUCCAGGAAAAGCCUCUAAGCAUCAGGUAACAUCAAAUCGUACCCCAAACCGACACAGGUGGUCAGGUAGAGAAUACCAAGGCGCUUGAGAGAACUCGGGUGAAGGAACUAGGCAAAAUGGUGCCGUAACUUCGGGAGAAGGCACGCUGAUAUGUAGGUGAAGUCCCUCGCGGAUGGAGCUGAAAUCAGUCGAAGAUACCAGCUGGCUGCAACUGUUUAUUAAAAACACAGCACUGUGCAAACACGAAAGUGGACGUAUACGGUGUGACGCCUGCCCGGUGCCGGAAGGUUAAUUGAUGGGGUCAGCGCAAGCGAAGCUCUUGAUCGAAGCCCCGGUAAACGGCGGCCGUAACUAUAACGGUCCUAAGGUAGCGAAAUUCCUUGUCGGGUAAGUUCCGACCUGCACGAAUGGCGUAAUGAUGGCCAGGCUGUCUCCACCCGAGACUCAGUGAAAUUGAACUCGCUGUGAAGAUGCAGUGUACCCGCGGCAAGACGGAAAGACCCCGUGAACCUUUACUAUAGCUUGACACUGAACAUUGAGCCUUGAUGUGUAGGAUAGGUGGGAGGCUUUGAAGUGUGGACGCCAGUCUGCAUGGAGCCGACCUUGAAAUACCACCCUUUAAUGUUUGAUGUUCUAACGUGGACCCGUGAUCCGGGUUGCGGACAGUGUCUGGUGGGUAGUUUGACUGGGGCGGUCUCCUCCUAAAGAGUAACGGAGGAGCACGAAGGUUGGCUAAUCCUGGGUCGGACAUCAGGAGGUUAGUGCAAUGGCAUAAGCCAGCUUGACUGCGAGCGUGACGGCGCGAGCAGGUGCGAAAGCAGGUCAUAGUGAUCCGGUGGUUCUGAAUGGAAGGGCCAUCGCUCAACGGAUAAAAAGGUACUCCGGGGAUAACAGGCUGAUACCGCCCAAGAGUUCAUAUCGACGGCGGUGUUUGGCACCUCGAUGUCGGCUCAUCACAUCCUCGGGGCUGAAGUAGGUCCCAAGGGUAUGGCUGUUCGCCAUUUAAAGUGGUACGCGAGCUGGGUUUAGAACGUCGUGAGACAGUUCGGUCCCUAUCUGCCGUGGGCGCUGGAGAACUGAGGGGGGCUGCUCCUAGUACGAGAGGACCGGAGUGGACGCAUCACUGGUGUUCGGGUUGUCAUGCCAAUGGCACUGCCCGGUAGCUAAAUGCGGAAGAGAUAAGUGCUGAAAGCAUCUAAGCACGAAACUUGCCCCGAGAUGAGUUCUCCCUGACCCUUUAAGGGUCCUGAAGGAACGUUGAAGACGACGACGUUGAUAGGCCGGGUGUGUAAGCGCAGCGAUGCGUUGAGCUAACCGGUACUAAUGAACCGUGAGGCUUAACCUU
This 2907-nucleotide ribosomal RNA is filed under the name Escherichia coli. RNAcentral describes it as "23S ribosomal RNA". It matches the Rfam family "Bacterial large subunit ribosomal RNA". The record is from RNAcentral. Lineage: Bacteria; Pseudomonadati; Pseudomonadota; Gammaproteobacteria; Enterobacterales; Enterobacteriaceae.